GUUUGGGGUUUCUUUGCUCUUGUUUUCUUAGCAUUAGUGGCUGGCUCCUGGGAGCUCGCUGCAGACAGCCGCGCUGACAGCACUGGGCUUUGGUGUGGUGCUGGUGCUCCGUGCACAAAUUGAAAACUGGGAUGAGGAUAAGGCUUGGCUCAUGCCCCUCGUGGAGCUGCAUGUGCAGGUUCCAAGUGAAUAAGAGUGGUCUCCAUCUGUUAAUCCACUUGGUGAGAAGAGAGGGACAGCUUCGAUGGCAUUCCCUUAUGUGGCUGCAGAGGAUGCUGUCACUCACCUUGUCAGGCGCUCCUGAAUUUCAUCACAAUUCAUCAAACCCCCAGGUUGCUCAGUCAGCUCCACAGCAGACUGUGUGUUUUCAGCCUGAAUUAUGUACAGGUAGGUGAGCAAAGCCUUAUUCCCAGAGGCAUUCAGGAAGCCCUGUUACAUGCUCGGCUGCCAAGGGUGUGCUGCUCCUCUGAGCCAGUGAUGCCCACAGUGCCCCUGCCACGGGUGGCAAGGAGGGCUCCAUGCUAACCCUCACCUGCCUGUAUUUGCCCUUUCUGAGAGUCCUCCCUGACAGAUUCACUCAAAAUUCAGGGACUGGCAACAUCUAUUGCCUGUCUAAAUUCAAGGAUACUGCUUUGAUAAAUGGGCGAAUGAAAUCCUGGAAGCGGGGGGACGCCUUACCAUCCUACGAGCAGUCUGCAGUCAUGCUAUCUGUUAUUGUCUGGAUGAGAAAUCCACAUUUCUAGGCCCUGCUAACCAUCAGUAGUGAACUGCAAAUCUAAUUUAUCUCUUGUAAAGCCAUAAACAGACAUGCUGUGGAAGGGAAAGCGGUAUUUAGCAGUUCAAGUCCUGCACUGAGAUGCAGCUAGUUUGGGUUCGGUUCCUGCCUCUGUUGAGAGGGUCUGACAGCCAGGGCAGGGUUCAGGGCCAGUGCACAAACCCCAUGGGUGGGAUUGCAGAAAUAUUUAGGCUACUUCACUCCACUGUGGUGCUCACUUAGGUGCCCUAGGUGGCCACCCUCUCACUCUCCUAUUGGGAAGUUAAGACAGAAAAUCAAUGGGGUCAUGAAAAGGAAAUAAACAAAAGAGAACCGAACUGUCCA
Molecule: long non-coding RNA, 1099 nt
Filed under: Anser brachyrhynchus (Pink-footed goose)
Lineage: Eukaryota; Metazoa; Chordata; Aves; Anseriformes; Anatidae
Description: lncRNA (ENSABRG00000017527.1)
Source: RNAcentral